This is a small nuclear RNA of Callithrix jacchus (white-tufted-ear marmoset), 164 nucleotides long. Its record names the gene U1. It matches the Rfam family "U1 spliceosomal RNA". Rfam says of the family: U1 is a small nuclear RNA (snRNA) component of the spliceosome (involved in pre-mRNA splicing). Its 5' end forms complementary base pairs with the 5' splice junction, thus defining the 5' donor site of an intron. NCBI's taxonomy places the organism in Eukaryota, Metazoa, Chordata, Mammalia, Primates, Cebidae. The record is from Ensembl.
ACCCUUCCACCCAAGGGGAGAUACAGUGAUCACGAAGGUGGUUUUCCCAGGGCCAGGCUUAUCCAUUGCAUUCCGGAUGUGCUGACCCCUGAGAUUUCCCCAAAUGUGGGAAACUCGACUGCAUAAUUUGUGGUAGUGGGGGACUGCAUUCGCGCUUUCCCCUG